AACGCACGAGACCUGCGGACCUGCGGAAGGAUCAUUGCAAAUCAGGAGGUGGGGUGGGAGUGUUGGAGACGGAGGCACGGGGAUCAGGGUCUUUUGAUUUUGAUACUCUGGUCUGUUCUAUCCAUUCAUCCCAUUUUAUCUCAUAUAUGCACAGCGGCUGAUCAGUCAGUCGCUGAUGUUUACGCUUGUUUGUUUGACAAAUCUAUACAUUGCAAAAUUCAAAACUUUUAACAACGGAUC
This 240-nucleotide unclassified non-coding RNA is filed under the name soil metagenome. RNAcentral's name for it is "partial contains 5.8S ribosomal RNA, internal transcribed spacer 2, and large subunit ribosomal RNA". The record is from RNAcentral.